AUUGAACGCUGGCGGCAUGCCUUACACAUGCAAGUCGAACGGCAGCACGGGGGCAACCCUGGUGGCGAGUGGCGAACGGGUGAGUAAUACAUCGGAACGUGUCCUGUCGUGGGGAUAACCAGUCGAAAGACUGGCUAAUACCGCAUGAGAUCGAGAGAUGAAAGCAGGGGACCGCAAGGCCUUGCGCGAUUGGAGCGGCCGAUGUCGGAUUAGCUAGUUGGCGGGGUAAAAGCCCACCAAGGCGACGAUCCGUAGCUGGUUUGAGAGAACGACCAGCCACACUGGGACUGAGACACGGCCCAGACUCCUACGGGAGGCAGCAGUGGGGAAUUUUGGACAAAUGGGGGGCAACCCUGAUCCAGCCAUGCCGCGUGUGUGAAGAAGGCC
This 387-nucleotide ribosomal RNA is filed under the name uncultured bacterium. RNAcentral describes it as "bacterial SSU rRNA". It matches the Rfam family "Bacterial small subunit ribosomal RNA", at positions 29 to 416 of the family's 1533-position model. The record is from RNAcentral.